UAAGGAGUCUUCCACAAUGGACGCAAGUCUGAUGGAGCAACGCCGCGUGAGUGAAGAAGGUUUUCGGAUCGUAAAGCUCUGUUGUUGGUGAAGAAGGAUAGAGGUAGUAACUGGCCUUUAUUUGACGGUAAUCAACCAGAAAGUCACGGCUAACUACGUGCCAGCAGCCGCGGUAAUACGUAGGUGGCAAGCGUUGUCCGGAUUUAUUGGGCGUAAAGCGAGCGCAGGCGGAAGAAUAAGUCUGAUGUGAAAGCCCUCGGCUUAACCGAGGAACUGCAUCGGAAACUGUUUUUCUUGAGUGCAGAAGAGGAGAGUGGAACUCCAUGUGUAGCGGUGGAAUGCGUAGAUAUAUGGAAGAACACCAGUGGCGAAGGCGACUCUCUGGUCUGCAACUGACGCUGAGGCUCGAAAGCAUGGGUAGCGAACAGG
This 429-nucleotide ribosomal RNA is filed under the name bacterium. RNAcentral's name for it is "partial 16S ribosomal RNA". It matches the Rfam family "Bacterial small subunit ribosomal RNA", at positions 355 to 776 of the family's 1533-position model. The record is from RNAcentral.